RNAcentral lists this long non-coding RNA (272 nucleotides) under Capsella rubella. Its description in RNAcentral is "long non-coding RNA (CRUB_LNC001363)". Lineage: Eukaryota; Viridiplantae; Streptophyta; Magnoliopsida; Brassicales; Brassicaceae. The record is from RNAcentral.
GUCUUUGGCCCACUUUGCAACGUGUAAAUAUUUUGGAAGUGUGUGUAGAGGGGUUUCUUUCUGCUGCUGCUGCUGCACAUAGACACAUCAAUGUGUCUCGUGAAGGCUAUUGGUCAGAGAUGAAGUCUUGAAGAAGCGUCAAUGGCAGGUCUAGGUAGUCCACGUUCUCCAAUCAACCCGAAACGUCUAGAUUGAGACUUUUUUUUAUUUUUUUCAGUUCUAUGAACGAAUGAAGCUUGUAAAUUACUUCUCAUUACUUUUUUAUUUUUCAU